UCCGCAAAUGGUGGUGUCCAUAGCCACACCGAGUUACUCCAUGAGGGGACGAUUUCAUAUAACAACUUUGCGACAGCAAUAGAGACACACUCCUCAAGUCGUCACCGGCAGCGGUGGGAGGUGAUGGGCGGGGGCGGCCUGUGGAGAUUUCAGUGGAGGAAAGAAAGAAAGUCGGGAGAAGGGAAGACUCAGCGGCAGAGAGGAGCCCAGUCGGCCAGAGAGGUGGGAAGAACGCUCCGAGCUGGAGGAGGAGGAUCCUGCCCCAGCGGCUGGGGGGGCGUGUGGCUUGAGCAGGCAGAUUGCCCGGUGCUCAGCCAGUGCCAGUGAGACCCCGAGGGACUGGGCCGAACCAAGUGCCGCGAAAUGUCAAAGCAACCCAAGGAGAAAACUCGGAGCUGUGCCAGCUGUGGCCAUCACUGUGCAUGGGGCCAGCGCCAGCCUGGCUGGCUGGUGGGUGCUGCCGAGGGGAUUUCAGCACCAUUGGGAGCCAGGGAGGGCUCCGUGCCAACGGGCAGCAGGUGCAUCACACAUACAAGGCUCCCCGGCGCUGGUCUCGCCGUACUCGUCACUACAGGGUGUCUGGUAAGGUCUCUGCUGCAAGCCUGGGGCAGAUUGCGAAGCUCGGCGUCUGUACAAUUAGGGGCUGCAGGUCUGGCACUAAAAGGGGUGCACAGACACCUGGCAGGCCCCCUUCUCGCUCCUCGGCGGCUCAUGUGCCAAUUUCACAACCGUCACCCAUUGACAGAUGAAACAAAAUGCUACU
This is a long non-coding RNA of Mauremys mutica (yellowpond turtle), 763 nucleotides long. RefSeq lists it as uncharacterized. The transcript is spliced from 3 exons. NCBI's taxonomy places the organism in Eukaryota, Metazoa, Chordata, Testudines, Geoemydidae. The record is from RefSeq and is a predicted model, not a curated record.